GGAAAAAGUAGUCUAAAGCUAGGACGUCGGCUUCAUAAUCCGAAAGUGGUAUUAAUACCUUUUUUA
Molecule: transfer RNA, 66 nt
Filed under: Crassostrea tulipa
Lineage: Eukaryota; Metazoa; Mollusca; Bivalvia; Ostreida; Ostreidae
Description: tRNA-Met
Rfam family: tRNA
About the family: Transfer RNA (tRNA) molecules are approximately 80 nucleotides in length. Their secondary structure includes four short double-helical elements and three loops (D, anti-codon, and T loops).
Source: RNAcentral